GGCCCCACUAUGCUCAACCGUUAACAAAGAUGGGACCCCCACACCCCCAUCCGCCAGAGAAUUACAAGCAACACUCAAAACUCAAAGGACUUGACGGUGUCCCAAACCAACCUAGAGGAGCCUGUCCUAUAAUCGAUACCCCACGCUACACCUUACCCCCCCUUGUAAACCAGUCUGUAUACCGCCGUCUACCAGUCCGCCUUAUGACAGACCAAUAGCGAACAAACCAGCCCACCACUUAUACGACAGGUCAAGGUGCAGCCAACGGGGGGGCAGAGAUGGGCUACAUUUUCUACCCCACCAGAAUAUCACCACCCGCCAAAUGAAACAUAGGCCCAAAGGCGGAUCUAGCAGUAAGCCAGACAAGAACGCCUGACUGAAAACCCGCUCUGGGACGCGCACACACCGCCC
RNAcentral lists this ribosomal RNA (411 nucleotides) under Tarentola darwini. RNAcentral describes it as "partial 12S ribosomal RNA". It matches the Rfam family "Bacterial small subunit ribosomal RNA", at positions 783 to 1395 of the family's 1533-position model. The record is from RNAcentral. Lineage: Eukaryota; Metazoa; Chordata; Lepidosauria; Squamata; Phyllodactylidae.